RNAcentral lists this ribosomal RNA (448 nucleotides) under uncultured bacterium. Its description in RNAcentral is "bacterial SSU rRNA". It matches the Rfam family "Bacterial small subunit ribosomal RNA", at positions 355 to 825 of the family's 1533-position model. The record is from RNAcentral.
UCGGGAAUUUUGGGCAAUGGGCGAAAGCCUGACCCAGCAACGCCGCGUGAAGGAUGAAGUAUUUCGGUAUGUAAACUUCGAAAGAAUAGGAAGAAUAAAUGACGGUACUAUUUAUAAGGUCCGGCUAACUACGUGCCAGCAGCCGCGGUAAUACGUAGGGACCAAAGCGUUGUUCGGAUUUACUGGGCGUAAAGGGCGCGUAGGCGGCAAUUCAAGUCAUCUGUGAAAUCUCCGGGCUUAACUCGGAACGGUCAGAUGAUACUGCUUUGCUAGAGUGCAGAAGGGGCAAUCGGAAUUCUUGGUGUAGCGGUGAAAUGCGUAGAUAUCAAGAGGAACACCUGAGGUGAAGACGGGUUGCUGGGCUGACACUGACGCUGAGGCGCGAAAGCCAGGGGAGCAAACGGGAUUAGAUACCCACGUAGUCCCUGAGCGGGCUGGCAAGGCGCAU